UCUCCGUAGGUGAACCUGCGGAGGGAUCAUUACUGAGUGAGGGCCUCCCCGGCCCGACCUCCAACCCCUUUGUGAACACAACUUGUUGCUUCGGGGGCGACCCUGCCGUUUCGACGGCAAGCGCCUCCGGAGGCCUUCAAACACUGCAUCUUUGCGUCGGAGUUCAAGUAAAUUAAACAAAACUUUCAACAACGGAUCUCUUGGUUCUGGCAUCGAUGAAGAACGCAGC
This 229-nucleotide unclassified non-coding RNA is filed under the name uncultured fungus. Its description in RNAcentral is "sequence contains ITS1, 5.8S rRNA gene". The stretch from base 181 to 229 matches the Rfam family "5.8S ribosomal RNA", at positions 1 to 49 of the family's 154-position model. The record is from RNAcentral. Lineage: Eukaryota; Fungi.